Molecule: non-coding RNA, 128 nt
Filed under: Ochromonas sp. CCMP1393
Lineage: Eukaryota; Chrysophyceae; Chromulinales; Chromulinaceae
Source: RNAcentral
CUCUCUCUCUCUCUCUCCCUCUCUCUCUCUCUCUCAGUAAUUUAGAUUGAAGCGGUGUGUCUGGCAUUGUUUUAAAACCAUUCAAACCACGCGAGGGAUUCUUGCACUGUGGCGAUUUUAACAGUUAU